GAGAGUUUGAUCCUGGCUCAGGACGAACGCUGGCGGCGUGCCUAACACAUGCAAGUCGAGCGAGGAGAUUCCCUUCGGGGAUGAACCUAGCGGCGGACGGGUGAGUAACACGUGGGCAACCUGCCUUAUAGAGGGGAAUAGCCUUCCGAAAGGAAGAUUAAUACCGCAUAACAUUACAUUUUCGCAUGAAGAAGUAAUUAAAGGAGUAAUCCGCUAUAAGAUGGGCCCGCGGCGCAUUAGCUAGUUGAUGAGGUAACGGCUCACCAAGGCGACGAUGCGUAGCCGACCUGAGAGGGUGAUCGGCCACAUUGGGACUGAGACACGGCCCAGACUCCUACGGGAGGCAGCAGUGGGGAAUAUUGCACAAUGGGGGAAACCCUGAUGCAGCAACGCCGCGUGAGUGAUGAAGGUCUUCGGAUCGUAAAGCUCUGUCUUCAGGGACGAUAAUGACGGUACCUGAGGAGGAAGCCACGGCUAACUACGUG
RNAcentral lists this ribosomal RNA (485 nucleotides) under swine manure pit bacterium PPC102. RNAcentral describes it as "bacterial SSU rRNA". It matches the Rfam family "Bacterial small subunit ribosomal RNA", at positions 7 to 507 of the family's 1533-position model. The record is from RNAcentral.